CCCUGCCACAGGGAACAUAUGGUCAUAGUCCAGGAUCGACAUGAUAAAUUGAAUAUGUGAAAGAAUCUUGAAACCGCGAAAAGAAUCUUUUGAACUUAAGAAAUAUAUGACUUAUACUUUGGAACUGCAUAUUUAUUUAUUUUCCACAUAUUAUUGCUUGAUUUAUCUAGCUAGAGUGUUCAUUACUUACUGGGCUGUCUAGCUCAUUAU
This 210-nucleotide long non-coding RNA is filed under the name Phoenix dactylifera (date palm). Its description in RNAcentral is "long non-coding RNA (PDAC_LNC020737)". The record is from RNAcentral. Lineage: Eukaryota; Viridiplantae; Streptophyta; Magnoliopsida; Arecales; Arecaceae.